This 468-nucleotide ribosomal RNA is filed under the name uncultured bacterium. RNAcentral describes it as "partial 16S ribosomal RNA". It matches the Rfam family "Bacterial small subunit ribosomal RNA", at positions 28 to 507 of the family's 1533-position model. The record is from RNAcentral.
GAUGAACGCUGGCGGCGUGCUUAACACAUGCAAGUCGAACGGUGAAGGCGGAGCUUGCUCUGCUGGAUCAGUGGCGAACGGGUGAGUAACACGUGAGCAAUCUGCCCCUGACUCUGGGAUAAGCGCUGGAAACAGCGUCUAAUACUGGAUACGAGCUGCGAAGGCAUCUUCAGCAGCUGGAAAGAAUUUCGGUCAGGGAUGAGCUCGCGGCCUAUCAGCUUGUUGGUGAGGUAAUGGCUCACCAAGGCGUCGACGGGUAGCCGGCCUGAGAGGGUGACCGGCCACACUGGGACUGAGACACGGCCCAGACUCCUACGGGAGGCAGCAGUGGGGAAUAUUGCACAAUGGGCGAAAGCCUGAUGCAGCAACGCCGCGUGAGGGACGACGGCCUUCGGGUUGUAAACCUCUUUUAGCAGGGAAGAAGCGAAAGUGACGGUACCUGCAGAAAAAGCGCCGGCUAACUACGUG